UUCAUUUUUUUACUUGCUACUUUGCAACUUAAAGGAAGUUAGUGUCUCCUCCAUCCUACCCCAGCAAGGGCCAAGCAGAGUGAUGUCCAAAUCAGCCUGACAACAAAGAAUGGGCCCGAGUCUCCUUUGCUGUGACCUAGUCCAGGAUCACCACAGGAUUCAGGAUCUCCA
Molecule: long non-coding RNA, 171 nt
Filed under: Ictidomys tridecemlineatus (thirteen-lined ground squirrel)
Lineage: Eukaryota; Metazoa; Chordata; Mammalia; Rodentia; Sciuridae
Description: lncRNA (ENSSTOG00000032950.1)
Source: RNAcentral